ACUGAAUAGAUACCCGGGUAGUCCACGCCCUAAACGAUGUCUACUAGUUGUCGGGGAUUCAUUUCCUUGGUAAACGCAGCUAAACGCGUGAAGUAGACCGCCUGGGGAGUACGGCCGCAAGGUUAAAACUCAAAGGAAUUGACGGGGACCCGCACAAGCGGUGGAUGAUGUGGAUUAAUUCGAUGCAACGCGAAAACCUUACCUACGCUUGACAUGCCAGGAACUUUCCAGAGAUGGAUUGGUGCCCGAAAGGGAACCUGGACACAGGUGCUGCAUGGCUGUCGUCAGCUCGUGUCGUGAGAUGUUGGGUUAAGUCCCGCAACGAGCGCAACCCUUAUCCUUAGUUGCUACGCAAGGGCACUCUAGGGAGACUGCCGGUGACAAACCGGAGAAGGUGGGGAUGACGUCAAGUCCUCAUGGCCCUUAUGUGUAGGGCUUCACACGGUCAUACAAU
This 454-nucleotide ribosomal RNA is filed under the name uncultured bacterium. RNAcentral's name for it is "bacterial SSU rRNA". It matches the Rfam family "Bacterial small subunit ribosomal RNA", at positions 772 to 1231 of the family's 1533-position model. The record is from RNAcentral.